AGUUUAAUAGUUUAAAAAAAAACAUUGAUUUUGUAAAUCAAAGAUAGAAACACCUUUAAAUUA
Molecule: transfer RNA, 63 nt
Filed under: Nilaparvata lugens (brown planthopper)
Lineage: Eukaryota; Metazoa; Arthropoda; Insecta; Hemiptera; Delphacidae
Description: tRNA-Thr
Rfam family: tRNA
About the family: Transfer RNA (tRNA) molecules are approximately 80 nucleotides in length. Their secondary structure includes four short double-helical elements and three loops (D, anti-codon, and T loops). Further hydrogen bonds mediate the characteristic L-shaped molecular structure. tRNAs have two regions of fundamental functional importance: the anti-codon, which is responsible for specific mRNA codon recognition, and the 3' end, to which the tRNAs corresponding amino acid is attached (by aminoacyl-tRNA synthetases). tRNAs cope with the degeneracy of the genetic code in two manners: having more than one tRNA (with a specific anti-codon) for a particular amino acid; and 'wobble' base-pairing, i.e. permitting non-standard base-pairing at the 3rd anti-codon position.
Source: RNAcentral